GACAGAGGUGCCGAGCGUUAGGCGGAAUCACUGGGCUUAAAGCGUGUGUAGGCGGAGUGCUAAGUACCUUGUGAAAUCCCACGGCUUAACCGUGGAACUGCUUGGUAUACUGGUUCUCUCGGGUCAUCUAGGGGCGAGCGGAACAAACGGUGGAGCGGUGAAAUGCGUAGAUAUCGUUUGGAACGCCAAUGGUGAAAACAGCUCGCUGGGGAUGCACCGACGCUGAGACACGAAAGCCAGGGGAGCGAACGGG
Molecule: ribosomal RNA, 253 nt
Filed under: uncultured bacterium
Lineage: Bacteria
Description: partial 16S ribosomal RNA
Rfam family: Bacterial small subunit ribosomal RNA
Source: RNAcentral